Molecule: ribosomal RNA, 800 nt
Filed under: uncultured bacterium
Lineage: Bacteria
Description: bacterial SSU rRNA
Rfam family: Bacterial small subunit ribosomal RNA
Source: RNAcentral
AGAGUUUGAUCAUGGCUCAGAACGAACGCUGGCGGCGCGCCUAACACAUGCAAGUCGAGCGGACCCGCAAGGGUUAGCGGCGAACGGGUGAGAAACACGUGGAUAAUCUGCCCAGGAGACCGGGAUAACUCGGCGAAAGCCGAGCUAAUACCGGAUGAGCCCACAGGUCGGAAUCGACCAGAGGGAAAAGGGGGAAAGACGCUCCUGGAUGAGUCCGCGGCCCAUCAGCUAGUUGGCGGGGUAAAAGCCCACCAAGGCAACGACGGGUAGCUGGUCUGAGAGGACGACCAGCCACACUGGAACUGAGACACGGUCCAGACUCCUACGGGAGGCAGCAGUGGGGAAUCUUGCGCAAUGGGCGAAAGCCUGACGCAGCGACGCCGCGUGUGCGAUGAAGGUCUUCGGAUCGUAAAGCACUGUCGCGAGGGAAGAAACCUGACGGUACCUCGAGAGGAAGCACCGGCUAACUCUGUGCCAGCAGCCGCGGUAAUACAGAGGGUGCGAGCGUUGUUCGGAAUUAUUGGGCGUAAAGCGCGAGUAGGCGGCUUGUUAAGUCGCGUGUGAAAGCUCCCGGCUCAACCGGGAAAGUGCGCGCGAAACUGGCGAGCUUGAGUCCUGGAGAGGGUGGCGGAAUUCCCGGUGUAGAGGUGAAAUUCGUAGAUAUCGGGAGGAACACCAGAGGCGAAGGCGGCCACCUGGAAAGAGACUGACGCUGAGAAGCGAAAGCGUGGGGAGCAAACAGGAUUAGAUACCCUGGUAGUCCACGCCGUAAACGAUGAGUGCUAGCUGUGUCGGGAGUU